Molecule: ribosomal RNA, 480 nt
Filed under: uncultured bacterium
Lineage: Bacteria
Description: partial 16S ribosomal RNA
Rfam family: Bacterial small subunit ribosomal RNA
Source: RNAcentral
GACGAACGCUGGCGGCGUGCUUAACACAUGCAAGUCGAGAGAUGAAGCACCUUCGGGUGUGGAUUAGCGGCGAACGGGUGAGGAACACGUGAGGAAUCUGCCUUCCACUCUGGGAUAACUCCGGGAAACCGGGGCUAAUACCGGAUAUUUUCAACUGGCGGCAUCGCCGGUUGAAGAAAGUUUUUCGGUGGAAGAUGACCUCGCGGCCUAUCAGCUUGUUGGUGAGGGAAAGGCUCACCAAGGCGACGACGGGUAGCCGGCCUGAGCGGGUGAACGGGCACACUGGGACUGCGAGACGGCCCAGACUCCUACGGGAGGCAGGAGGGGGGAAUAUUGGGCAAUGGAGGAAACUCUGACCCAGCGACGCCGCGUGAGGGAUGAAGGCUUUCGGGUUGUAAACCUCUUUCAGCAGGGAAUAAGCGAAAGUGAAGGUACCUGCAGAAGAAGCACCGGCUAACUAUGUGCCAGCCGCCGCGGUAA